AGAGUUUGAUCCUGGCUCAGGACGAACGCUGGCGGCGUGCUUAACACAUGCAAGUCAAGGGGAAAGAAGGCUUCGGCUUUUAAGUAUACUGGCGGACGGGUGAGUAACGCGUAGGCAACCUGCCCUUGUGUUAGGAAUAACAUCGAGAAAUUGGUGCUAAUACCUAAUGAGGCAAAAUAGUUAUAUAAUUAAGUUGUUAAAGUUACCGCAAGGUAAUGCACAGGGAUGGGCCUGCGUUCCAUUAGUUAGUUGGUGAGGUAACGGCUUACCAAGACAGCGAUGGAUAGCUGAUCUGAGAGGGUGAUCAGCCACACUGGGACUGAGAUACGGCCCAGACUCCUACGGGAGGCAGCAGUGAGGAAUAUUGCGCAAUGGAGGUAACUCUGACGCAGCAACGCCGCGUGGGGGAUGAAGCUCUAUGGAGUGUAAACCCCUGUAGGUGGGGAAGAAGGUUAUAUUCAAGAAAAGGAAUAUAAGUGACGGUACCCGCAAAGUAAGCUCCGGCUAACUCCGUGCCAGCAGCCGCGGUAAUACGGGGGGAGCGAGCGUUGUCCGGAAUCACUGGGCGUAAAGGGCGUGUAGGCGGGUGAGUAAGUCAGAUGUGAAAGGCUACGGCUUAACCGUAGAAGUGCAUUUGAUACUGCUUGUCUUGAGUGCGAGAGAGGGUAGUGGAAUUCCCAAGCGAAGGCGGCUACCUGGCUCGUAACUGACGCUAAUGCGCGAAAGCGUGGGGAUCAAACAGGAUUAGAUACCCUGGUAGUCCACGCUGUAAACGAUGAGCGCUAGGUGUUGGUCUGCCUUUGGUGGAUCAGUGCCGCAGCUAACGCAAUAAGCGCUCCGCCUGGGGAGUACGAUCGCAAGGUUGAAACUCAAAGGAAUUGACGGGGGCCCGCACAAGCGGUGGAGCAUGUGGUUUAAUUCGAUUCAACGCGCAGAACCUUACCGGGGUUUGACAUGUCGAUGAAUUAUGCAGAGAUGUAUAAGCUCUUCGGAGCAUUGACACAGGUGCUGCAUGGCUGUCGUCAGCUCGUGUCGUGAGAUGUUGGGUUAAGUCCCGCAACGAGCGCAACCCUUGCCUCUAGUUACCAGCGAGUAAAGUCGGGGACUCUAGAGGGACUGCCGGUGACAAACUGGAGGAAGGUGGGGAUGACGUCAAGUCCUCAUGGCCCUUACAUCCCGGGCUACACACGUGCUACAAUGGCCGGUACAACGAGUCGCGAUACCGUAAGGUGGAGCCAAUCUUAAAAACCGGUCUCAGUUCGGAUUGCAGUCUGCAACUUGACUGCAUGAAGUCGGAAUCGCUAGUAAUCACGGAUCAGAACGCCGUGGUGAAUACGUUCCCGGGCCUUGUACACACCGCCCGUCACGCCAUGGGAGUCGGCAGUACCCGAAGCCGGUGUUAAAGCCGUCUAAGGUAAGGCUGAUGACUG
Molecule: ribosomal RNA, 1430 nt
Filed under: metagenome
Description: bacterial SSU rRNA
Rfam family: Bacterial small subunit ribosomal RNA
Source: RNAcentral